Molecule: long non-coding RNA, 221 nt
Organism: Thalassophryne amazonica
Lineage: Eukaryota; Metazoa; Chordata; Actinopteri; Batrachoidiformes; Batrachoididae
Exons: 3
Source: RefSeq, a predicted model, not a curated record
UUCCAUCUGGACGCUGAUACAGUGUUCCACGGUUUAAUAAGGUCAGACUGAAACAUUCUUUAGUGCAUCAGUUGAUACUUAAACGAAAUAAGGAGCUUAAUCCAUAACAACAUUAUCAAGGCUGCAAUGCGAGUAAAUUUUUGUUCUUUGGAUUGUUUGUUUGUGAAAUAUCUGUGUCUUAUUUGUGUUGUUUAUGUAUUGUGUUGUUAAAAUCAGUCAAU